UACGUAGGGUGCAAGCGUUAAUCGGAAUUACUGGGCGUAAAGCGUGCGCAGGCGGUUAUGUAAGACAGGUGUGAAAUCCCCGGGCUUAACCUGGGAACUGCAUUUGUGACUGCAUAGCUAGAGUACGGUAGAGGGGGAUGGAAUUCCGCGUGUAGCAGUGAAAUGCGUAGAUAUGCGGAGGAACACCGAUGGCGAAGGCAAUCCCCUGGACCUGUACUGACGCUCAGGGACGAAAGCUAGGGGAGCGAAUGGG
RNAcentral lists this ribosomal RNA (253 nucleotides) under uncultured bacterium. RNAcentral describes it as "partial 16S ribosomal RNA". It matches the Rfam family "Bacterial small subunit ribosomal RNA", at positions 524 to 776 of the family's 1533-position model. The record is from RNAcentral.